UACGGAGGGUGCGAGCGUUAAUCGGAAUUACUGGGCGUAAAGCGCACGCAGGCGGUUUGUUAAGCUAGAUGUGAAAGCCCCGGGCUCAACCUGGGAUGGUCAUUUAGAACUGGCAGACUAGAGUCUUGGAGAGGGGAGUGGAAUUCCAGGUGUAGCGGUGAAAUGCGUAGAUAUCUGGAGGAACAUCAGUGGCGAAGGCGACUCCCUGGCCAAAGACUGACGCUCANGUGCGAAAGUGUGGGUAGCGAACAGG
Molecule: ribosomal RNA, 253 nt
Filed under: uncultured bacterium
Lineage: Bacteria
Description: partial 16S ribosomal RNA
Rfam family: Bacterial small subunit ribosomal RNA
Source: RNAcentral